AAACAAAAGAACAAUGUUUAGUAACAGUAUGUGGGAACAGUGAUAUCUUAAAGUGUCUGCCAGGUACAUAGCUCUCCUCUCAAAAAAGCAGCUGCAGGAGGAUUUGUUUCCUCAAAAUGUGCUAUGCUUUGUGACAUAAUCUGGAUACCGUGGCCACCAUUGUUUGGAUUAGGGACCUGGGUCUGUCCUGGAGUAGCCAUACAAAAAUGAAACAUGAGGAUAUUUGGUGAGAGAAAUUUGUCAGCAGAAUUCUCUAUGCUGGAUAGUGACUGAUAAGCUAAAUCUUCUCUCUAUUCUUUGGCAUUUGCGAUGUGAGACCCAAGAAAAUGUGGCAGUUUAGAGCAGCCAAGUUGAAGCAAUCCUAAUUUCAGCCAGAAAUAGGAGCCCAUGUAUAGAAACCAUGGGCCGUGGGGAUGGUGGAACUAAUUGUUUCUGUAGGGAACACGGUUUGAGGGUCCUUGGCCUCUGCUGUCUUCAAUGAGUUUCCUGUUCUGCAUGAUACCAGGUUGACUCUGUUUUGCAGGCUGAUAGAUGUCAAGACUUUGGUUGGGUUAUUUUCUCCCCAAGCUAAUAAAGUACAA
RNAcentral lists this long non-coding RNA (581 nucleotides) under Homo sapiens (human). RNAcentral's name for it is "HSALNT0299311". Lineage: Eukaryota; Metazoa; Chordata; Mammalia; Primates; Hominidae. The record is from RNAcentral.